AUGUUUCUGUUGAGAAGUUGGUUAGAAACAGUUGGAAAGUUAGUUACAAGAUUCUAUUAUGAAGUCAGUUUGCUAAAGGAAGAGGGAAACAAAGGGCAUGGCAUAAAGUUUGGUGUCUCUUUUGAUGGUGCAGAAAUUUUGGUCAUAGAUGAUGUGGAUAGAACAUAUAAACAUGGUGAAGAAAUUCAAGACAUAAGGGCAUCAAGCAUGAAGAUUAUUUUAAGAUGUUAUGGAAGCUUGAAGUUUGGUUUUGGCAACCUAAAGCAUGAAGUUCAUAAGUCUAGAAACUUAGAACUCUUAUGUUUAGGACCAAAUUUGUAA
Molecule: non-coding RNA, 321 nt
Organism: Vicia faba (fava bean)
Lineage: Eukaryota; Viridiplantae; Streptophyta; Magnoliopsida; Fabales; Fabaceae
Source: the annotation of a GenBank genome assembly